GAGAAAGAGAGGAUUGGAAGGACAAAGGUUUUAGAGGCAGAAAGGGGGUUUUUAUUAAUCUUUAGUUACUUGAAAAAUGGCGGUAGGAAGUUCUAUCGCUCUGAUAACAGGAACUGUAACCGACUAUAAGAAGAUUAACUAGCUAGCAGUCAUUAAUGAGAUGAACAUUUAAGGUUUGGGUAAUAUCAGAAGAUUAUCAAUCGUUUGGGUGGAUUACUGGAUCAAGCAUUUGGAUCAUAGUCAAACAAGAGCAUUUCGUCGAACAGUUAGAGAGCACAGUCUAUACAUCCUGAUAGCCAAACAUAGCAUCGCAAGAUAAGUAGGAACACUGGAUCAAGCAUUUGGAUCAUAUUCAAACAAUAACAUUUCGUCGAACAGUUAGAGAGCACAGUCUAUUAAUCCAGAUAGCCAAACAAUAGCAUCGCAAGAUAACCAGGAGCAUCAAAAUCGACAAGAUAUCAAAAUUCGAGCAGAGACGGAAACGUAUGUACGGCAUACCUUUCAAAGAGGGACGAGCUUGAACAGAAGGAUUAGAGCUGCAAGAGACAUGAACAGGAACGUAACAAGGAUCGUCAGCUCCACCGAUCCACACAGAUGCAUCUGGCAAGAGGGACGAGCUUGAACAGAAGGAUUAGAGCUGCAAGAAACAUGAACAGGAACGUAACAAGGAUCGCCAGCUCCACCGAUCCACACAGUUGAAUCUGGCUGCUCCUGAACCUCUCUCUCGCCAAUUUCAACCU
This 740-nucleotide long non-coding RNA is filed under the name Linum usitatissimum (flax). RNAcentral describes it as "long non-coding RNA (LUSI_LNC002986)". The record is from RNAcentral. Lineage: Eukaryota; Viridiplantae; Streptophyta; Magnoliopsida; Malpighiales; Linaceae.